AGACCUCAAAUCAGGUGGGACUACCUGCUGAACUUAAGCAUAUCAAUAAGCAGAGGAAAAGAAACUAACAAGGAUUCCCCUAGUAAUGGCGAAUGAAGAGGGAAAAGCCCAAAUUUGUAAUCUGGCUCUUUCAGAGUCCGAGUUGUAAUUUUAAGAACUGUUUUCAGUGCUGGACCAUGUAUAAGUCUGUUGAAAGGCAGCAUCAUAGAAGGUGAUAAUCCUGUUCAUGAUGUGGACUACCAGUGCAAUAUGAUACAGUCUCUAAGAGUCGAGUUGUUUGGGAAUGCAGCUCAAAGUGGGU
This 301-nucleotide ribosomal RNA is filed under the name Puccinia suaveolens. Its description in RNAcentral is "partial large subunit ribosomal RNA". It matches the Rfam family "Eukaryotic large subunit ribosomal RNA", at positions 1 to 297 of the family's 3401-position model. The record is from RNAcentral. Lineage: Eukaryota; Fungi; Basidiomycota; Pucciniomycetes; Pucciniales; Pucciniaceae.